RNAcentral lists this long non-coding RNA (1380 nucleotides) under Homo sapiens (human). RNAcentral describes it as "HSALNT0001429". Lineage: Eukaryota; Metazoa; Chordata; Mammalia; Primates; Hominidae. The record is from RNAcentral.
GUUUGGUGGAGGGUUUAGGUGUGUUUAGGCUGAAGACCCCCAGGCGCAGAUGUCCAGUUGUCAGGUGUACGGGGUAACUGUGACGAUAAAAGGGAAGAACACCUGGAGAACAUGGAGCAGCACGACCAGCAUAACAACAGCAACAUAACAACACCAGCCUAACAACACAACACCAGCAUAACAGCAGUGCAGCAACACCAGCGUAACAACAACAUAACAACACCAAUGUAACAACAGCAACAUAACAACAUUGGCGUAACAUAACAACAUCAGAAUAACAGCAGUGCAACACCAGUGUAACAACAACAUAACAACAGCAGAGUAACAACGGCAACAUAACAGCAGCAACGUAACAACACUGGUGUAACAACAGCAACGUAACAACACUGGCGUAACAGCAACAUAACACUGGUGUAACAACAUAACACCAGCAUAACAACAACAAAACAACACCAGCAUAACAACAUAACACCACCGUAACAACAGCAACAUAACAACACUGGUGUAACAACAAUGCAACACCAGUGUAACAACAGCAACAUAACACUGGUGUAACAACAAUAUAACAACACUGGCGUAACAACAGCAACAUAACAGCACUGGCGUAACGACAACAUAACAGCACUGGUGUAACGACAUAACACUGGCGUAACAACAGCAACACCAGUGUCAACAGCAAUGUAACAACACCAGCAUAACAACAACAUAACACCAGCUUAACAACAGCAAUAUAACACCAGCUAACAGCAACGUAACAACACUGGCGUAACAACAUAACGACACCGGCGUAACAACAGCAACGUAACAACACCGGAGUAACAACAUAACACCAGCAUAACAGCAGUGCAACAACACCAGCAUAACAACAUAACAACAGUAACAUAAUACCAGUGUAACAACAACAUAACAGCAGAGUAACAACAGCAACAUAACACCACCAGCAUAACAACAACGUAACAACACUGGCGUAACAACAGCAACAUAACACUGGUGUAACAACAACAUAACAACAGUAACACAACACCAGCAUAACAACAACAUAACAACACCAGAGUAACAACAGCAAUGUAACAACACUGGUGUAACAACAACAUAACAACACCAGCAUAACAAUGUAACAACACCGAUGUAACAGCAGCAACAUAACAACACCGGUGUAACAACAACAUAACACUGGUGUAACAAUGUAACACCAGCGUAACAACAACAAAACAACACCGGCAUAACACUGGCACAACACCGGCAUAACAGCAACAUAACAACGGUGUUAACAGCAAUGUUACAACACCAGCAUAACAAUAUAACACCAGCUUAACAGCAAUGUAACAACACUGGUGUAACAGCAACAUAACACCAGUGUAACAACACAACACCGGCAUA